RNAcentral lists this microRNA precursor (157 nucleotides) under Populus trichocarpa (black cottonwood). RNAcentral's name for it is "MIR396 microRNA precursor family". It matches the Rfam family "MIR396 microRNA precursor family". Lineage: Eukaryota; Viridiplantae; Streptophyta; Magnoliopsida; Malpighiales; Salicaceae. The record is from Rfam by way of RNAcentral.
GGUCAUGCUUUUCCACAGCUUUCUUGAACUUCCUUGCCAUGCUUAACUUGUGUGUGUGUGUGUGUGUGUGUGUAGAUCACUAUAUAUCUGUAUAGUUAUACACAUUUAGCUAGCUAGCACCAUGGAAGCUCAAGAAAGCCGUGGGAGAACAUGGCAA